RNAcentral lists this ribosomal RNA (500 nucleotides) under uncultured bacterium. RNAcentral describes it as "partial 16S ribosomal RNA". It matches the Rfam family "Bacterial small subunit ribosomal RNA", at positions 30 to 523 of the family's 1533-position model. The record is from RNAcentral.
AUUGAACGCUGGCGGAAUGCUUUACACAUGCAAGUCGAACGGCAGCACGGACUUCGGUCUGGUGGCGAGUGGCGAACGGGUGAGUAAUGUAUCGGAACGUGCCCAGUCGUGGGGGAUAACGUAGUGAAAACUACGCUAAUACCGCAUACGAUCUAUGGAUGAAAGCGGGGGAUCGCAAGACCUCGCGCGAUUGGAGCGGCCGAUAUCAGAUUAGGUAGUUGGUGGGGUAAAGGCCCACCAAGCCAAGGAUCUGUAGGCGGUCUGAGAGGACGACCAGCCACACUGGAACUGAGACACGGUCCAGAUUCCUACGGGAGGCAGCAGUGGGGAAUUUUGGACUAUNNNCGAAAGCCUGAUCNAGCCAUUCCGCGUGCAGGAUGAAGGCCCCCGGGUUGUANACUGCUUUUGUACAGAACGAAAAGGUUUCUACUAAUACUAGNAGCNCAUGACGGUACUGUAAGAAUAAGCACCGGCUAACUACGUGCCAGCAGCCGCCGCGG